CUGUCUUUUCUUCUUCCACAAUUCUUCUAACUUCUCUUGCAUUUUUCGAGUUUUUUUGCUACUGCCGCUGCUGCUUGUUCGUGCUUUCGUUGGCGUCGCAGCUUCUUGGAUUCGCGUCGAUUGCUUUUGUUUGCUACUGCCUUCGCUGUUCGCGUCUUGUCUUCUCCCUUCUCUGUUCCUCAAUCAUCUUCCAAAGAUUUUUCGGAUAUAGCAAGACUACCAAAAGAUACAUUCUCAAAAAUGGCUUACUCAGUUGUUGGUGUUCACAAUAGAGGUAGCCAUUUCGGCGAUGCCUAAAAAUGCAGAACAAUUUGUGAUUCUGUUGGAUGCAAGCUUUUAUAGGUUCGCAUCUACUUUUAUGAGCUUGCUGCUGGCAGUGCUAAAAAUAGUGGGCAACUACUACCCAGGCAGGAUCUAUAAAGCAUGUGUCCCUCCUUCUCUUUGCUUACACCUGGAAGGUAACUAAAAUUCAUAUUACAAUUUUUUCUUGCUCAACUAUGGAACUAGCUUCUGUGAGUAACUAGCUUGAAGCCUUGAAUAGCUUGUAUUGGACUUACAAUAACAGCAAACUCAUAUUGGCCUUGUUGAGAUCCAUGGAUCAAUCUCUCUAAGGUCUAUCCUUACUAAUGAACCUAUUUCUGAAGUAUGAAAAUUGAUUAGUUCUUAUGCGUUAUUAUCCUAUAAAAGUUUUAAUUUGGAUCCAAUUCUGGUUGAUGUUUUAGUUGGAUUAUCACUUCUAGGUAAUUUUACUUCUUUCUUUAAAACUUAUUACAUGGUUAUCACUGUUGAAUUUUAUAUUAUCAUUAGGCUUCAUUGAUAGUGUUGUAUUUAUAUUUAGCAUUAUUACUACUUUACCUACAUAGGGUGUGAGGAUUCCUUUUACCUAAUCUUGUGUAACUGUAUGAUUGGUGCCUAAUGUUAUUGUGCAAUAACUUUUCAUUGUAGGUAGCUUAUUCUUUGAUAUUGAUGGUUACUUUUUAAGAGAGUGCAAAUUGUCAUUGUAAAAAUUCGCUCAAGAUUUGAUUUUGGAUUGCAUCU
Molecule: long non-coding RNA, 1038 nt
Organism: Arachis stenosperma
Lineage: Eukaryota; Viridiplantae; Streptophyta; Magnoliopsida; Fabales; Fabaceae
Exons: 4
Source: RefSeq, a predicted model, not a curated record